CUCGACUACAAGAAGAAGUACGAAGCCACUAAGGCCAAGUGGAACUGGACGACGGACAGACCAGAUUUUCUCAAUGCUGCUAAGAACUCCAUGCAGCAGAGUGAUGUUGAGUACAAGUAUGACAAGGAGAUGCUGAAGGGCUGUGUUAUCCCUGUGACCGACGACAAACUUAUGCUCCUUCGUUUGCAAAAUUCUGAGAUGGCCAGCGAGGUGAAAUACAAAUUGAAGUAUGAAAAGGCCAAGGGUCACUAUCUGCCUGUCAUGGACACUCCUCAAAUCCUUCAUGCCAAGUCUGUGAAACUGCUGUCAUCAGAG
This is a long non-coding RNA of Cynoglossus semilaevis (tongue sole), 315 nucleotides long. RefSeq lists it as uncharacterized. NCBI's taxonomy places the organism in Eukaryota, Metazoa, Chordata, Actinopteri, Pleuronectiformes, Cynoglossidae. The record is from RefSeq and is a predicted model, not a curated record. The transcript is spliced from 3 exons.